AGAGUUUGAUCCUGGCUCAGGAUGAACGCUGGCGGCGUGCUUAACACAUGCAAGUCGAACGAACCUUCGGGUUAGUGGCGGACGGGUGAGUAACGCGUGAGAAUCUGCCCUCAGGAGGGGGAUAACGGCUGGAAACGGCCGCUAAUACCCCAUAUGCCGCGAGGUGAAAUGAAUUUCGCCUGAGGAUGAGCUCGCGUCUGAUUAGCUAGUUGGUGUAGGUAAUGGCUCACCAAGGCGUCGAUCAGUAGCUGGUCUGAGAGGAUGAUCAGCCACACUGGGACUGAGACACGGCCCAGACUCCUACGGGAGGCAGCAGUGGGGAAUUUUCCGCAAUGGGCGAAAGCCUGACGGAGCAACGCCGCGUGAGGGAUGAAGGCCUCUGGGCUGUAAACCUCUUUUAUCAAGGAAGAAGAUCUGACGGUACUUGAUGAAUAAGCCACGGCUAAUUCCGUGCCAGCAGCCGCGGUAAUACGGGAGUGGUAAGCGUUAUCCGGAAUUACUGGGCGUAAAGCGUCCGCAGGCGGCCCUUCAAGUCUGCUGUUAAAACGUGGAGCUUAACUCCAUCAUGGCAGUGGAAACUGUUGGGCUUGAGUGUGGUAGGGGCAGAGGGAAUUCCCGGUGUAGCGGUGAAAUGCGUAGAUAUCGGGAAGAACACCAGUGGCGAAGGCGCUCUGCUGGGCCAUAACUGACGCUCAUGGACGAAAGCCAGGGGAGCGAAAGGGAUUAGAUACCCCUGUAGUCCUGGCCGUAAACGAUGAACACUAGGUGUCGGGGGAAUCGACCCCCUCGGUGUCGUAGCCAACGCGUUAAGUGUUCCGCCUGGGGAGUACGCACGCAAGUGUGAAACUCAAAGGAAUUGACGGGGGCCCGCACAAGCGGUGGAGUAUGUGGUUUAAUUCGAUGCAACGCGAAGAACCUUACCAGGGUUUGACAUCCUGCGAAUCUUUUGGAAACGAAAGAGUGCCUUCGGGAACGCAGUGACAGGUGGUGCAUGGCUGUCGUCAGCUCGUGUCGUGAGAUGUUGGGUUAAGUCCCGCAACGAGCGCAACCCACGUCUUUAGUUGCCAGCAUUCAGUUGGGCACUCUAGAGAGACCGCCGGUGAUAAACCGGAGGAAGGUGUGGAUGACGUCAAGUCAUCAUGCCCCUUACAUCCUGGGCUACACACGUACUACAAUGCUACGGACAAAGGGCAGCAAGUUCGCGAGGACAAGCAAAUCCCAUAAACCGUGGCUCAGUUCAGAUCGUAGGCUGCAACUCGCCUACGUGAAGGAGGAAUCGCUAGUAAUCGCAGGUCAGCAUACUGCGGUGAAUACGUUCCCGGGCCUUGUACACACCGCCCGUCACACCAUGGAAGUUGGCCACGCCCGAAGCCGUUACUCCAACCCUUGUGGAGGAGGACGUCGAAGGUGGGGCUGAUGACUGGGGUGAAGUCGUAACAAGGUAACC
This 1447-nucleotide ribosomal RNA is filed under the name uncultured bacterium. Its description in RNAcentral is "bacterial SSU rRNA". It matches the Rfam family "Bacterial small subunit ribosomal RNA". The record is from RNAcentral.